GCCGCGGUAGCCCAAUGGGUAGAGGCACUGCGUUCAGAACGCAGAAGGUGCGGGUUCGAAUCCCGCCCGCGGCA
Cystobacter fuscus DSM 2262 is the source of this 74-nucleotide non-coding RNA. Lineage: Bacteria; Pseudomonadati; Myxococcota; Myxococcia; Myxococcales; Archangiaceae. The record is from Rfam.